RNAcentral lists this long non-coding RNA (18391 nucleotides) under Solanum tuberosum (potato). RNAcentral's name for it is "long non-coding RNA (STUB_LNC007996)". The record is from RNAcentral. Lineage: Eukaryota; Viridiplantae; Streptophyta; Magnoliopsida; Solanales; Solanaceae.
UCUGAUUAUUUCCUGUCCAUAAUUAAUUAGCUUCUGCAACAUCAAACUAUUUUAAUAAUAUUUUGCCAUUUUAAAAUCAACGGUGAAUAAAAUCUGCUUUGUGAUAGCCUUUCGGGUCACUUAGAAUAAACAUUAAUAAUUUGCUACUGCCCAUAUGCUUUUAUUCAGCUAAUCUGUCCUAAUUAACCUGGACAAUAAUUAGUUAAAAUCUACUUUCUGAAAUAACUUUCUGCUCCCCCUAAUCAAAUAAUUAUGUUGUUAUGCUGCUUAUUUUGUAUGCACACACUUAGCAUGAAAUCCUUUCACCAUUUAUGUGUGUUUGAAAGCAUGUUUAAUAAAACCUAGAGGUCAAUAUGAGACCCUAUGUGUUAAAUGCUUGUCCAAAUUGUUUGACUUGGUGUCUAGGUGGGCCUAGUAAGAACCUUUAUUUUAUUUCUAGUCUAAAACCUCCUAAUAGUAGUUCAAUGCCUUUUGGACCUUAAGCGGGGACGCUAGUCACCUUUUAGAGACGAAAAGCAUGCGGUGGUAGGGUAGGGGUAGUUUAGGCCCUACGGAGAUGAUGUCAUCGACUCAGGCUCAAAGAGACAAACCCUGGUUUUGUCUGUCCCUACACGGAAGCCUAUCAAAAAAUAUAAAGAAAAGUCGAGUGUUGAUCCACAAAGUCCUUUAGAGUCUCCUUUUCCUUUUAUCCCUUUAUCUAUUUAUAAUUAUAUUUAUUUGGGGUAGUUUAAUUAAAUAAAAAAUGAUAUUUACUUAUAUAUUUGUUUGCUUUCUAUCUUCUCGCUAUUUCUUUUAAAUUUUAUUUUUGUUAGUUAUUUAGUAUUAUGUUAUUACCUAGUUUUUGCAUGCUUAAUUAAUUAAAUAAAUAAAUAAAUCGAUAUUAAUUGUUUAAUAUUAGUUAUCACAUAGCAAUCAUGUUUAAUAAAUAACUAAUAAAUAAAGUGACUUUAAAUGCUACCUCUAACCCCCACAUAAAUUGCAUGAGAUACGGUCGGGAUCCACAUUUGUGGACCUCGAGGGAUGCCUAACACCUUCCUCUCGAGGUAAUUUGAACCCUUACCCUGAUCUCUAUUUCGUUGACCUUAGUUAGAUUUAGCUAGGUUAGAUAGGAGCUCUAACGCGCCUUAAUUCGUUAGGUGGCGACUUUUCAAUCCUCCAAAGCCCAAAAGAGUUGUUAGGUCGUGCACCAAAACCUGUUUUUGCGAAAAACGGGGAGCGACAGAAUGACGACUCUGCUGGGGAUAUUAGGUUCUAACCAUUACGUGUUUCAUGCUUAUAUGUGGUUUACUUUAUUUGGUCAUUUCAUUGUUUGUUUAUUAUUGUUAAGUACUUUCAUGCUUAAUCACAUACUUAUUUCCUUAUUUGUUGGAUUUCUUACAUGCUUAUAUCUGUUUAUUUAUUUAUUUACUGUUUUUCUUAAAAUUGCCUAUAUUUUACUGUUUUUCAUCUAUAUGCUAAAUGUUUACUGCUUUGAUAAACUGGCAUCCGCUCAUACUUCCCCCAAUUAGGACCCUCUUCCUUUUUAUAUUUUUUAUCGUGAUGUUGUGCCUUUGCACCUCUCAUAACUACUCCAAUUCUUUUCGAAUACCCAUUAUAGAGAGUCGGCAUAUGCGUGGACGGAAUGAAUAAUUUUACUACCGAGAAACCACGAGCCUUCUCGCAUAGAAUCACCUUCAAGUCCGUAUCAAGUCAACUCUUAGAAGUCUUACUUAAGUCAUACAUAUUGCAUAAGCCCUAGGUAGUUUGACCCUUGGUGUCAAUCCGCACAAUUAGCAUCCACCCUAUCGUCUAAAGGGCCCCAACACCCUUCAGAUAAAUUUGCAUAAUUAUGUGUCAAUAUGAUCAUGAUAAUUAAAUCAAGUCAAAUUAUGUCAAAAUGGAGUUAGGAAUUUUUCUCCGACUCUAAAACUUCAAUUGGCAAAGUAUGACUUGAAUCAACUUUAUUUUCAGUUUAUUGUCCCUCUCUGAGAGUAUUGUGUCAUUUAUUUGAACUUAUAAUUUUGGCUUGUUAUAUGCUACCCCCAUGCUUGCGUUUGAUUUAUUUUCUUUGAUUAAAGGUUGUCUAGUAUUUAGACUUUGGUUCAACUAAGAAUCUACAAUAUAACAAAUAUGUUCAGCCUUUAAAAAAAUCACCCCUCUUCUCGUCCAACAAUUUGGACUAUCUCUCCUCAUCCUAUUCCUACUCACACCCUCUCUCAACAAUUAUCUCCAACACGCCUCAACUUUGAUGCUUUGCAAUAUGAGGGGAUAAGUGACAAAAUGGAGAAGUCUAAGCUAGAUGUAAUACAACAAAAAAUGCAUGACUUGGAGAAGAAGGUGAAUGGAGCACUAAACUCAAAACCUACUCAUGACCUGAGGUAUAAGAAAUUAUGUCUACACCCAAGAGUUGAAUUGCCAUCAGGAUUUAAAAUUCCAAAAUUCAACAUGUUCGAUGGGAAUGGGGACCCAAUUUCACAUCUCAAGGACUUUUGAAGCAGAUUAGUUGGCUUAGAAAGUAAUGAACCUCUCCGGAUGAGGUUAUUCAUUCAAAGCUUAUUAGGAAUAGCCUUCACCUGGUUCGUCAAGCAAGACUUUGACAAAUGGCUCGCAUGGAAAGACAUGGCUCGAGACUUUGUGGAACAAUACAAGUUUAACACUAAGAUUGAUCUUACAUUGUUGGACUUGCUCGAAGUAAGGAAAUUAAGUCAUGAAUCUUUUGAGGAAUAUGUCAGAUGAUGGUGAAUGGAAGCUUCCAAGAUACGUCAUUUACCGAAUGAAGAAGAGUUGGUCCAGACUCUCAUCAGAUCACUUGCUGGUAUAUACUACAAGACUCUGUACUUCACAGGUAUUCAAAGCUUCGACAGUCUAAUUCGAAUUGGAAAGGAAUUGGAAUAUGGCAUUCAGUCUGGGAGAAUUGUUGAUGAACAAAUUCAUUUUCAAGUACUGAAAAACCCAUCAGAUGAAAGGAGCAAGAAUGUUUCAAUCUCUAUACCUCUGAAACCAAGUAAUCAGAACACUGGGCAAGUUCAUGCUAUUUUUUAUUCAUGUGACAUGCGUUUCAAGCCUUACAAUUCGCGAGUAUCUCAACUUAAGAUAAGGAAGCCUCGUACCUUUACCCCCUUAAUGGAAACUUUGACUAGCAUUUUUCAAAGGUUAUGGGCUAAAGGACUUUUGAAGCCAAGGGAAGGUUGGAUCCCUAAGCACUCUUUUUCAACUUUGGAUCUAUCCAAGAAUUGUGUGUAUCAUUCAAAUAUUCAAGGUCAUGACACUGAAGAAUGUCCAGCAUUGAGAAAUAAGAUCCAGAAUAUGAUUGAAAAAGGAAAAAUUAUAGUGAAACAAGGACCAGUAAACAACAAUUGCAAUUCUUCUAUAGUGGAUGCAGUCAUUGUUCAAGGAGAUCCCACAGGGCUUUAUUCAAGACACUUGACAAGGAAGCGCAGAUCGCAUCAAAGAAAUUGAGGAGGACAAGACUCUUAUGAACAAAAUGUCUCUUUUGUUCUUAGACCUUAUGCCCAAAGAGUUCCUUUAUUCCUUUCAUUUUCCUUGUAUUCCUGAACUACGUUUGACCUGAUUUCCUUUUGGAUACGUCGGCAACCCUUUGAUAGGUCCGGUCUUUAUCAAAUAAAUUUAUUUUCUUUCCCAUGGUCAUUCAAAAUAUUCCUCUCCAAAUUCAAAUUUAGGGCUAAUUGAUUCAACCUUUAACAUAAUUGAUGUUCAGAUUCGUAGUCGAGCCUAGUGUCCAAAUAUAAGACAAUCACUUUUCUUAUUGAACUAAUAAUUUUCUUUUAGUGAAUUGGAUCACAAAGUCCCUACAAAUGAAACUGGGGCAGAAUUUUUGAGGGAACCUCAAAAAUUUCAGACAAUAUUUAAGAAGGUGAGUAUAUAUCUUAUACUCUAAACUGGGGCAGAAGUUUUUGAAAUCCUCAAAAAUUUCAUCACAAUGGAGUGCAAUUCCGAAAUCAAAGCAAGCACAGGUAUGACCCAAUCUUGCUUUUCAAAUUUACGAUUAUCUCUGGAUGUAGGAAUAGAUUUGACAUAAGGAGCUACUAUCAAUCUACCGUUUGAUUAUUUCGAAGAUGCUAUUAUCAACUUGCUAUUGUGACCUACCGAACAUCACAGGUUCGUCUGCCUUACAAUACGACAUUAGGCUCGUCUGCCUUACAAUAUGACAUUUAGGUUCGUCCGCUUUACAAUAGGACAUCAGGCUCGUCCGCCUUACAAUACGGCAUCAGGCUCGUCUGCCUUAUAAUACGACAUUUAGGUUCGUCCGUCUUACAAUACGACAUUAGGCUCGUUUGCCUUACAAUACGGCAUCAUGCACGUCUGCCUUACAAUACGACAUUUAGGCUCGUCUGCCUUACAAUACGACAUUAGGCUCGUCUGCCUUACAAUAUGACAUUUAGGUUCGUCCGCUUUACAAUAGGACAUCAGGCUCGUCCGCCUUACAAUACGGCAUCAGGCUCGUCUGCCUUAUAAUACGACAUUUAGGUUCGUCCGUCUUACAAUACGACAUUAGGCUCGUUUGCCUUACAAUACGGCAUCAUGCACGUCUGCCUUACAAUACGACAUUUAGGCUCGUCUGCCUUACAAUACGACAUUCAGGCUUGUCCGCCUUACAAUAUGACAUUUAGGCUCGUCCGCCUUACAAUAGGACAUUAGGCUCGUCCGCCUUACAAUAAGAUAUUUAGGAUCUUCCGUCUUACAAUAGGGUGCUCAGGUUAACAUUAUUCUUUGGAGAUGGAUCGCAAUUCUUCAAGAAGUUAAGCCAAAGUUUAUCAGGGUUUACACUAUAUUUCUCAAAGCAGAUAUGUCUUCCUAUCACCUCUUGUCAUUAUUAUUUAUCAUGUUGGUUUACACUUUUUGUAUUUAUAAGCUAACAUUUUAUCUAGUCAUAUUAGAAUUUGCAGGCGAGAUCGAUCGCCCUCUCAGCUACGAUUAUCAGGCUCAUACCUAUUGCAACAGAGGCCCUUUCAAUCAUUUGAUAAUCGUUUCACUGUUUUUCAUCUGAUCCUUGCUCUUGAGCUGGAAAUCGCUCUGUCAUGCUCUUCUCGCUACUCUAAUCUUAUCCAUCCAAGCCGCAAUCGUUCCUGUUCGAAUAUCAUACCGUUUUUCCAUUUUUAGGAGCCUCGUUUGUUCCUAAAUCUAGAACUACACACGGCCUGAUUCUCGUAAUACCAGAGAUAUGUAGGCGACUUAAAACCAAAGUCUCGGCCGUACCCCUCUCCAACUCUAUACCAUUUCAAUUGAUCCCGCUGACAUUUCUCGUCGGUCGGACAAAAUCGGCUACUAAGUCAACGUUGGUUGCCCGACAAUUCAUCUUUCAUUCUCAAGCAACCAAGGGGCAGCUGUUGACACCCAAUUUUGACCGACCUAUAACCCUUUCAGGAGUGCUAUUCUAUUAAAUAUGUACUUUUAAACCAUAUGUCGAAAGCAACAGCAGCAACCGGCGAAGGAGAGCAAAAGCCGGCAAAACGGAUAGCAAUGGCGAGCACCGGCGAAAGUUCCGGCGAGGCCAGCAGCCGCUGGCCGCCUCUACUUCUCUCUUUUUCGGCAAAAUGACGCCACCAGCAGCAGCAGCCUACAACAACAGCUCCGGACAGCAGCAAUAAUGAGAACAUCCAACAACUAGGCGAUUUCCAUUCUUCUCAUCCCCGAUAAAGUUCGGGUUCGAAGACGGAUCUCAACAAAUUCGUCCAGGUUCAUCUUUUUUUUUCCAAUUAAUUAUUAUUCAUCUCCUAAUAUUCUUAAUUGUUCGUUUUUGAUCUACUAGUUAUUUCUAUGUAACAAUUUUAUGUAUGUUUACUUUACAUAAAAAAUACUAAGUGUUAUGAAGUUCAUCUUAGCAUGAACUAUAUGGGUAUCUUAAGCAUGCUUUCUAUGUGAUUUUCUAAUUUCUUGAAAUUGAUCUAGAAUGUCAACAUAUCUCUACGUUAUCUUCUAUUUAGCAUAUCUUUGAUUUUAGAGUCAUUGGAUUUACUAAUUCUUGAUUUUGCUAAGUUAAUUGAUAAAUGACAGAUUUUUCCAAUUCUUUUGCUAAUUAUUUAGUUUGAAAGUAUUCCCUUAAUUGAUUCGGCUUACUGUGCAAAUUGCAUUGACUUUUGGUAUGUUUCUUAAUCUAUAUUCUAAUAGAAUAGAGGUUAAAAUCUUGCUACAAAUCCAACUUUGGUCAGGUAAACUUUGCUGAAUUAUUUUGCUUUCUUUGCUAAUUGAUUCUCGGUAACUUAUUUGAUUUAGUUAUACUAUUCCUACUAAUUGAUUCUUGGUACCUUAUUUGAUUUUAGAAGGAUUAUUUCUUGUUUUACUAUGGUAAAAUUAGUUAAUGUUGAUUCCGUGUCCUCGCCUUAAAUUUGAUUCCCAACAUUAAUUUUGCCUAAUUAUGGCAACCAGGAAAUUCCUUCUUUUAUAUUUGUCUGUCUAGGUGUUCUAUGUAAGGGUAUAUCUAUGUGAUUUAUGCAUUAUUCUCCGUUACUUUGGUAAGUAUAUUAUUGAUAGCUUUUCCAAUAUAUUCCUGCUCUUCUGUAUAUUUUAAUUAAAGUAGUGACUCCUUAAUUAAUUUAUUUACCUUUAUUAAUUGAAAACCAUCAAGAAUGCGUAUUUGUGGGCUGAUUUAGUUUCUCCUUAAUUUAAGAAAAAGAUAUUUUAAUUGAUCCUUAGUUAAUUUUCUUUCCUUUAUCAUGUACCCUCCUCUCUACUAUAUAAAGUGAUCCUCUUUCUCAUUAUUAGGACACUCCUUUAAUACUUGCAUACGGACCAAGCUUUAACACCUUUAGCAAAUAAAAUACUAUUAACAAUUCAUGCUCCACACUUUAACAAGAAAUAAAAGAUACCAGCUACUCUUUCAAAGAAAAGGAUAAUUUUGGUGCUUUGUGAGUGUGCUUUCUUGUUGUGUUGCUGUUUUCGGGAAAAAUAUUUCCGUUCAAUAACUUCAUUGCUGAUACAUAAUUCUGCAUAAUUGGUUAGUAUCCUUUUCACUAGUUUAAUUUUUAUUUUAACAUUAUUUGCAUUGUUGUGUGUUUAAAUGAAUACAAGGAAGCAUCCGGAUUAGUUUUUGUUCUUUCCUCUCUCUGUGAUAAUAUAUCUAUGGUUACUCUUCAUUCAUUUUGAAUCAUAUGUGUGCUGCCUAUAUAUAAAGUAAUAGAUUGCUAUGAAUAUGCGAUGUUAUGAAUAUCUUUGUCACUAUAUGUAUCUGCUAUACUAUUCCCUUUUAGCAGGUGGAAGUUCAAGACACAUGAAGAGUUCGCCCGGGUCGGGAUAUAUUCGGAUAGAGCCUUGUCUUAUUUUAUUUUGAUGUUUGUCUUUCUAUUAAUAUUGGUUUUAUUGGAUUUUGUAAUGAUGUUGUAUAACUCUAACUCCAUAUAUGAUAUAAUUUGGGGAAUCAUCUAAAGGGGGAGGGGAUUACGUGUUAACUGUUUCUUUUUCUUUUAGCUUUAUUUUAUUAUGUUUGUUUUCUACAGAUAAUAUGCCUAGAUGAGUAUGUUGGAAUGUCUUAAAUAAUCCAUUUAAAAUCAACUGUUUAUUUGUGUUUGUUUAGUUUUAAAUAAACAACCUUUAAUUGGUUGCAUAAUCUGACUUUAUGAAUAAAUGUUAGUAUAUCAAUUAAUUAGCUUGAAUCAAUAAGAGUUCGAUAGCUCUAGUAUAUUAGUUAAUAAUUCAGAUCUUAAUUUCAUGUGUUUAAUGACUUUUGCAGCAUGUUAAUCAACUAGUUCAUUCAAUUAGAUUUUAAUAGUCACUUUAUGUGAAUAAAAUUCAGACCACUUAGAAGCAUGCCUAUAGGAUUUAAUUUCUGAGAUAUGGUUGAGUAUAGAAAUCAUGCUUGUAGGUGAUGCGAUAUCUUCAAUCUCUCAAUCACGUAGAAAUCAUGUUCAUUAGGCAUCAUUAAAUAACUUCAGCAUGUUAAAUAAUUGAAAUAAAUCUAUGCAUCUUUUCUGCCUACCGGUAAACUAUUUCUGUAUUAUAAUUAUUUUUUGACACUUGAAAUUAAAUUAACUAACAGUCCAGCAUGCUUCACAGAUUUUGAAUAAAAUACUGAUUUGCUCUCUGAUUAUUUCCUGUCCAUAAUUAAUUAGCUUCUGCAACAUCAAACUAUUUUAAUAAUAUUUUGCCAUUUUAAAAUCAACGGUGAAUAAAAUCUGCUUUGUGAUAGCCUUUCGGGUCACUUAGAAUAAACAUUUAUAAUUUGCUACUGCCCAUAUGCUCUUAUUCAGAUAAUCUUUCUUAAUUAACCUGGCCAAUAAUUAGUUAAAAUCUACAUUCUGAAAUAACUUUCUGCUCCCCCUAAUUAAAUAAUUAUGUUGUUAUGCUCCUUAUUUUGUAUGCAUACACUUAGCAUGAAAUCCUUUCACCAUUUAUGUGUGUUUGAAAGCAUGUUUAAUAAAACCUAGAGGCCAAUAUGAGACCCUUUGUGCUAAAUGCUUGUCCAAAUUGUUUGACUUGGUGUCUAGGUGGGCCUAAUAGGAACCUUUAUUUUAUUUCUAGUCUAAAACCUCCUAAUAGUAGUCCAAUGCCUCUUGGAUCUUAAGCGGGGACGCUAGGCACCUUUUAGAGACGAAAAGCAUGCGGUGGUAGGGUAGGGGUAGUUUAGGCCCUACGGAGAUGAUGACAUUGACUCAGGCUCAAAGAGACAAACCCUGGUUUUGUCUGUCCCUACACAGAAGCCUAUCAAAAAAAAUAAAGAAAAGUCGAGUGCUGAUCCACAAAGUCCUUCAGAGUCUCCUUUUCCUUUUAUCGCUUUAUCUUUUUAUAAUUAUAUUUAUUUGGGGUAGUUUAAUUAAAUAAAAAAUGAUAUUUACUUAUAUAUUUGUUUGCUUUCUAUCUUCUCGCUAUUUCUUUUAAAUUUUAUUUUUGUUAGUUAUUUAGUAUUAUGUUAUCACCUAGUUUUUGCAUGCUUAAUUAAUUAAAUAAUUAAAUAAAUUGAUUGUUUAAUAUUAGUUAUCACAUAUCAAUCAUGUUUAAUAAAUAACUAAUAAAUGAAGUGACCUUAAAUGCUACAUGUAACCCCCACAUAAAUUGCAUGAGAUACGGUCGGGAUCCACAUUUGUGGACCUCGAGGGAUGCCUAACACCUUCCUCUCGAGGUAAUUUGAACCCUUACCCUAAUCUCUGGUUCGUUGACCUUAGUUAGAUUUAGCUAGGUUAGAUAGGUGCCCUAACGCGCCUUAAUUCGUUAGGUGACGACUCUUUAAUGCUCCAAAACCCAAAAGAGUUGUAAGGUCGUGCACCAAAACCCGUUUUUGCGAAAAACGGGGCGCGACAAUGUAUAAAACAUAACUCUUUCUCAAUUUGAGGUAAUUACUCAAAAGACCCUCUUGAAAGAGGUAAUACUCUGAAAUAUCUCUAAACUCAUAAACUCAUUUAUAAAUCAAUGUUUCUCUCUUUUUAAAUGUAAAAGUGUUACAUUUAGGAAUACUUAGCUCCCUUAUACUCUUUUCAAUCAUGAAUACAACUCUUCUCAAUCUCAUAUUUACCUUCUCAAGACUUAGAGGGUGAUUCGAUUAGCUUAAAAGUUUGUCAAACCUAUUUUUAAGUCAGUUUUUGACUUCUGAAAAUAUUUGGCAAAUAUAAAAAAUAACUAAAAUAAGUUAGGAAGUGUUUGGAAAGGUCAUAAAUGACUUAAAAUAAGUAAAAACCCAAAAGUAGGUCUCCCCUACUCUUUGUUUUUUUGACUUAAAAGUCAUUUCAGUUUGACUUUUUAUUUUUAACUUAAAAGCUACUUUUUUUAAACCAAUCCAAACAACCACUUAGUUCAAAACAAUUGUUGAUUACAAAAGAAUUCUCAAAAUGACUCAAAAAGACCUCUUGAAAUUUUCUCUUAAAUUCACUUUAGUUUGGAAUGUAAAUUAAACCAUGUGAUUAGGACAUGUAGGAUCUCUCAAAGAUUAAUGGAGAAUUUAGAAGCUAAUACAAAGAGGAGAAUGUAGUCACGAUUCAAAAGGAACACGUUCGAAAAGAAGCACGAAAAGAAAAAGGACUAGACGACCCUAGCGCACUGGUGAUGCGUCGCUCAGGGCCUGAACUUCAGAAGUCAGGCCUUGAUGCACUGCUGGCGCGUCACCCCAGGGACUGUGCUAUUGAUGUCAAGACUUGGCGCUAUGGUGGCGCGCUGCCCCAGGCCCCUACACAGAAAAUCCGACAAUUUUUUCUACUCAUUUUAGGGUCCUAACUCAUCUAGAAUUGGGUGAUUUCUUCUAAACUCUUCUUGAUUCUCAAACCCAAUACGAAUUCAUAGAAAUUUCAUACAAUCCCUUUCAAAAAUCACAACUCAUACUCAAGAUCCUCAACCCAAGAAACUCAAAACUUCCAUUGUUAAAGAAUGAAACUAAAAUAAAGAACUACUCAAAAAUCUCUUAACAUAAUGUCAUGGACGAAUUCAUGGAUUAUUUAGAUGUAUGGUGUGAGAACGAACAAGUCCAACACUGUGAGAAGCCUUACAUACGUGGUAUCAAGGAUCUUCUUGGCGAAUGCCACAAGUCUUGAAAAACGCUUCAACUUAACCUCUUUUCUCCUCUUGAUACCUCACUCUAAAUCCCUAAGUAUUUUGGAACGUGAAUAGGUGAUUUAGAAUCUGAUUAGACCCUUAAUUGGGUCUGGAAAAACGUGCUAAGCCUAGUGGGAAAAAGGAAAUACCGAAAUACCCUUUUCUAAAAUGAAUGAAAUACCUUGAAUUGAGAGGCUUCACUCAAACAAGCAUAACUUUUUACUUUGAGUUCGAAAUUGAGCAAACUUGGCGUCGUUGGAAAGGGGACUCAAAGACCUUCAUUUGAUAGCUCAUGGGACACCAAAUGCUUUAUGUGCUAAAAUAUAUGGUCAUUUGAAGUUGACCCAAAAUUAAAAACUGAUGGGUAACUUAUACGAACCUCUAUUUAGCUAUUUCGAAGUCCGAGGUGUUACAAUAUCUCCCCCUUGGAAAAAUUCGUCCUCGAAUGAGGUCACACUAUAUAGAACAUGGGUGGGAAGCAUCUAAAAAACCCCAACUCAGUCACACAAUAUGCAAUUAACAUAAAUUCAACAUAUCAACUUAAAGAAUACUUUAUAAAGAGUUAGUACCUUGGUUUGGAACAUAUUCGAAAGGAAAGAGAUGAGGAUAUAUCUUCUUCAUAUCCUCUUGAGCUUCCCAAGUAGUUUUAUAAACAAGAUGAUUCAUUCAUAAGACCUUGAUUGAUGCACCCUCUUUGGUUCUCAAUUUGCAAACCUGACGAUCAAGAAUCUAAACGGGCAUCUCCUCAUCAAAAGAAAGGUUGUUCUUGAUACCAAUAUUCUUGGUAGGUACGAUAAGUGAAGGAUCAUCCAUACAAUUCUUUAUCAUAGAAAUGUAAAAUAUCAGAUGGACUGCUGCUAACUCUGACGAUAGCUCUAAUUCAUAAGCUAUGUUGCCAACUCACUUGGAUAUCUUGUAAGGACCUAUGUAUCGGGGACUAAGUUUUCCCUUCUUACCGAAUCUCAUAACACCCUUCAUAAGUGAAACUUUCUAAUAGACCCAAUCAUCAACCUCAAAUUCCAAGUCUCUUCUCCUAAAAUCUGUAUAGGAUUUCUGACGACUUUGCACUGUUUUCAGCCUUUCCUGAAUAGUCUUCACUUUCUCUAUGGCUUGAUAGACCAAGUCUGUCCCUAUCAAUUCAACUUCACCAACCUCAAACCAACCAAUAGGCAAUCUACAUCUUCGCCCAUAGAGAGCUUCAUAAGGAGCAGUUUGAAUACUGGAAUGAUAACUGUUAUAGUAAGAAAACUCUAUGAGAGGCAAGUGGUCAUCCCAAUUACCUUUGAAAUCUAUGACACAUUCCCUCAACAUAUCCUCUUUGGUCUGAAUUGUGCGCUCUGCUUGUCCAUCCGUCUGAGGUUGAAGAGUAGUACUCAAAUUUACCUUCAAACCCAAACCUUUCUGGAAAGACUUCCAAAAAUGAGCGGUGAAUUGAGCACCUCUAUCUGAAAUGAUAGACACGGGAACUCCAUGAAUUCGAACUAUCUCUUGAAUGUAUAAUCUGGCAUAAUCUUCUGCUGAUUUUUUAGUUAUUACCGGUAAUAAAUAGGAUGAUUUAGUCAUCCGAUCUACAAUCACCCAAAUCGAAUCAUGCUGCCUGCGAGAUCACAGCAAGCCAAUAUGAAGUCCAUAUUAAUCAUAUCCCACUUCCACUCUAGAAGAGCUAUGUUCUGAGCCACACCACUGGGCCUCUGGUGUUCUAACUUGACUUGUUGGCAAUUUGGGCACAUAGAAAUGAACUCUGCAAUGCACCUCUUCAUACUAAUCCACCAAUAGACUUCUCUUAAGUCAUGGUACAUCUUUGUGGAACCAGGAUGGAUUGAAUAUAUGGAACUAUGAGCUUCUGCCAUGAUCCUCUCUUGGAGCUCGUCCACCUUUGGUACACACAAUCUAUCUUGAUAUCUCAACACACAAUCUCCCAUUUGUACGAAAGUCAUUACUUUUUGCUUAUGCACAUUUGCCUUUAGUUCAAGUAAAAUAGGGUAUUUAUCUUGUUUAUCCUUAUCUUCAGACACUAGUGAUGAUUCAACCUCAUUCAUCACCACAACUCCACUUUCACUGGAAUCCAACAGAUGGACUCCCAAACGGGCAAGUCUGUGAACCUCUUUAGAUAUCUCAUUCUUGCCUUCCUCAACAUGAGCAAUACUUCCCGUGGAUAGCCUGCUCAAAGCAUCAGCAACAACAUUAGACUUACUUGGGUGAUAUAGGAUACUCAUCUCGUAAUCCUUGAGCAACUCUAACUACCUCAUUUGUCUGAGGUUAAGCUCCUUUUGACAGAAGACAUAUUGGAGGAUCUUGUGGUCGGGGAACACAUCCACAUGAAUACUACAUAGAUAGCGAUGCCAUAUUUUGAGAGCAAAUAGUACCGCUGCCAACUCGAGAUCAUGAGUCGGGUAAUUAUUCUCGUGAAUCUUAAGCUAUCUUGAGGUAUAGCUAUAACCUUACCAUUUUGUAUUAAUACGCAACAAAGUCCAACUUUGUACACAUCACAAUAUACAACAAAGUCUUUCGUACCCUCUGGUAGGGUUAACACUAGAGCAGUAGUAAACUAAGUUUCAAUUCCUGAAAGCUCUUCUCACAAGCUUCAGACCAUUGAAACUUAGUCAUUUUCUGAGUCAACUUAGUGAACGGGGACUAUAAUAGCCAGCCAAUCCCAAGAAACUCCUUAUAUUAGUUAGAGAUGUGGGUCUGGGCAUGUUCUGUACUGCUUCAAUCUUUUGAGUGUCAACUCGAAUCCUUUCUCCAGAUAUAGUGUGGCCUAAGAAUGCACAGAUUCAAGCCAAAACUCACACUUAGAAAAUUUGGAAUACAAUUCUCGAUCCAUGAGAGUUUGGAGGACUAUUCUGAGAUGACUAGCAUGAUCCUCCUCAUUCCUCGAACAAAUCAAUAUGUCAUUAAUAAAUACAGUAAUGAACAUAUCAAGAUAUAGCUUAAAGACUCUGUCCAUAAGAUCCAUGAAUAUUGCAGGAGCAUUGGUCAAGCCAAAAGACACCACAAGGAACUCAUAACGGAUCCUGAAUAUUGUCUUCAGGAUAUCACUUUCUCUCACUUUCAACUGAUGAUAGAAAGAUCUGAGGUCUAUCUUAGAGAAUCAAGUGGCACCCUGAAAUUGGUCGAAAAGAUCAUCAAUUCUCGGAAGGGGAUACUUGUUCUUUAUGGUGACCUUGUUCAACUGGCGGUAAUCGAUGCACAAUUUAAGGGAACCAUCUUUCUUCCUCACGAAUAAGACCGGAGCUCCCCAAGGUGAGACACUAGGUCGGAUGAAACCCUUAUCAAGAAGAUCUCUCAACUGCUCUUUUAACUCAGCUAGAGCCAUUCUAUAUGGUGGAAUAGAGAUAGGUUGAGUAUCAAGAAUAAUGUCUAUUUCGAAGUGUAUUUCUCUCCGGGAAGAUCAUCUGGAAAGACCUCUGGAAACUCACUCACAACUGGAACUGACUAAAUAAGCGGUGUCUUAACACUAGAGUCAUUAACUCGGACUAAGUGAUAGAUGCACCCCUUAGAGACUAACUUUCUGGGCUUAAGGUACGAAAUGAAAUAACCAUUAGGCACUGUUGAACUACUCCUUCACUCUAAGACAUGCUCAUUAGGAAACUGAAACUCGACUACUCGAGUUCUACAAUCAACUGAGGCAUAACAAGCAUGAUGUCAGUCCUUACCUAGAAUAACAUCAAAGUCCACCAUGUCUAGCUCGACUAAGUCAGCCAUGGUGUCCUUGUUAUUUACAGAGAUGAUACAAUCACGAUAAACUCUUUCUGCUAGAAUAGACACACCAACAGGUGUGGAAAUACUGAAGGGCUCAAGAAGUUUCUCAGGGAAAAUACUGAACAUCAUGGCUACAUAAGGAGUCAUAAAUAACAAAGUUGCACCUGGAUCAAGUAAUGCAUAAACAUCAAAAGUAAAGACUUUAAGCAUACCAGUGACAAUAUCUGGUGAGUUCUCUUGCUCUUGGUGACUGGUUAUAUAGCAGACAGACGGUUUGCUCCUCCGCUUGUCUCUAAAGUAGCUCUUCUCAGAGCAGUUCUAUCUACUAGAGUCGCUGAAGAAGAUUGGGCUCUAUUUCCCCAUUACCAUGCAUGUUCUUAGGGAACUCUCUCAUAAAGUGACCCAUCUGACCACACUUGAAGCAUCCAUUGGAGCUAUCACGAUGCGCUCUUGGGUGGUUUCUACCAUACUUAGCACAUAUGGGGGUCCAAGUAGCCCCUUGUGCCACACUAUCCUGAGACUGAGUAGGUCGAGCUCUAAAAUUCUGGGAGUUCUAAUUUCAGAAAUCACCUCUAUUUUUUGGUGCAAACGCACUAGCUGACGAUGGGGCAGGUCCAGGUGAUCUUUGGUGAAAAGAGGACCGAUUUACAUUUUCGAUCUUUUACUGGCCGGACUCAUGAUUUGUUGUCUUAGCCCUCUUAUUUUGGAACUCUUCCAUAUCUUUCAGCUUAUCUUCCUCAACUUGUUGCAUAUGGAUCAUGAGCCUGGCUAUGUCCAUAUCUCCUAUCAACAUAGUCGCCUUACCUUUCUUACUUGACAAGCGAAAUAACCCAGACACAAACAAACUCAUUCUGCUCCUCAUAUCAACCACAAUCUUCGAAGCAUUAUUGGAUAGUUGAGUGAACUUGAGGCUGUACUCUUGCAUACUAAUAGAUUCUUGUUUCAGAUUCACAAAUUCUCUUACCUUUGCUUCCCUUAGCUCAGGGGAAAGAAAUGCCCCAAGAAAGCCUCUUCGAACACAACUCAACUCAAAGGUGGUGCCCCUUCUGCCCCACUCUUCUUCCAUUGAUUGUACCAUAUGCUAGCAAAACCUUUGAGUUGCUAUGAAGCUAACUCCACACGUUGUGCAUUGGCAACACGCAUAACCUCAAAAAACUUUUUGAAGUUCUUUCACAAAGUUCUCUGGAUCCUCGGUGAUGUUCGAACUUGUGAACUCUGGGGGGAUUCAUCCUCAAGAACUCAUGGAUUCUGGAUGUAUCAGCCACAUCUUGACAACCCACUCUUUGUUGACUAGCUUAAUUUGCUACAACUUAAGUCAACAUCUUGAUAGCAUUCUAGAACUCGGCAUUGGUGACAUCUCCCUAAGGGGGUUGCUCCUAUGGUUCAUUGGGAACCUCUUGACCUUGAGGAUUCACAUUCCUCUUAGUAGGAUGUCCGCGAACAGCUCUUCGUGGAGGCAUGAUCUGAAAAGACACGCAUACGUACGAGUUAGAGGGAACUUUAUAGAGUUGAACUCUAUUACACGAAAAGAGUAAGAAGAAAGUGAAAUGUUUCCUAAAUGUCACAGCAUCCUAAUUAUAGCGCGCUUCUUCACACCAAAAAAUAUGACCCUACAGACACUGCUCCAUAGAUAACCUAGGACUCUUUGUGCUUUAAUAUCAAGUUUGUCACACCUCGGUCCUACACCCUGAACGUGGCUGGCACUCAAGAACCAUUGUUGGUCCUCAAGUGAACCCCUGGCCUGGCUGACUACUUAGCGGAAGGCCAACUCAAGCAAAAUGGAACUCCAAGUGCAUAAUUAAACUAAAUAUGUCUCAAUUAUAACUUACUCAAGAAAUUUCUGGAAAUACUUAAUAAAACAUAAGUAAUUGAAUCAAGGUUUCAAAACAUCAACAAGGAUGAAAGACUCUUCAACUUCUAGUUAUCUAUGAAGCUUCUAAUACUAAGAUAAAUGUCGGGACAGAACCCACGACAACUUAACAAAAGCAGGAAAUUAGCGUGAAGACCUUCAGAAAGCAAGGAGACUUACCAAAGCUAGCUGGAAUGCAAAUGGCAUCAACGAAGUACAUGCUGAUGACCGUGAACACAUGUAUCUGUCUCAUAAUAAGAUGCACAACGAAUGACAUUAGUACAUUGAAUGUCUGAGCAUGUAAGGUAAAACUGAAAGCAUAGAUAACUAAACUAAUAAGGCUGGAAGACAUAUUACCUCAACUCAACUCCAAUAUAAAAGCAAUAAUAAGAGAGGCAAUACUUAAAGCUUUAAAACAGUAAAUAUCAACUCAAGAUGUAUAAAAAUAUAGUAAGUUAUUCUUUACUUUUAUUUGGGGUAUUCUCUAAUCGACAACCAUCACUAUGAGUUAUGUGAUGAUACAUCGUCUCGCCCACACUGUCAGAACUGUUCUAUACCUUGUUGGGGGUAUAGAAUACCUCAACUAAGUAAAUCCACUAAACUAUGCUUAAAAGCAAUAUGGAGUUUUCUAAAAAGUAUGAUCUUUUACCUAUGUUGGCUACAUAAUUUAUGAGGAAUGUGAGUAGUCUCAACUCAUCCCCAUAUCGGUGCUCAAUACUACUCCCAAUAAUUUAUAAAUUCAUGCUCAAAUGUAUAAAACAUAAUUCUUUCUCAAUUUGAGAUUACUCAAAAGAUCCUCUUAAAAUAGGUAAUACUCUGAAAUAUAUCUGAACUCAUAAACUCAAUUAGAAAUCAAUGUUCUCUCUUUUUAAAUGUAAAUGUGUUACAUUUGGGAAUACUUAGUUCCCUUAUACUCUUUUCAAUCAUGAAUACAACUCUUCUCAUUCUCAUAUUUACCUUCUCAAGACUUAGUUCAAAACCAUUGUUGAUUACAAAAGAAUUCUCAAAAUGACUCUAAAAGACCUCUUAAACUCAUUUUGGUGUGGAAUGUAAAUUAAUACAUGUAGGAUCUCUCAAAGAUUAAUGGAUACUUUAGAAGCUAAUACAAAUAAAAGGUAGUCAUGAUUCAAAAGGAACACGUUCGGAAAGAAGCAUAGAAAGAAAAAGGACCAGGCGACCUUGGCGCACGGGUGGCGCGUCGCUCCAGGGCCUGAACUUCAGAAGUCAGGCCUUGGCGCACUACUGGAGCGUCACCCCAGGGCCUGAACUACUGAAGUCAGGCCUUGGCUCUAUGGUGGCUCGCCGCCCCAGGCCCCUACCUUAAAAAUCCAACGAAUUUUUCUACUCAAUUUAGGGUCCUAACCCGUCUAGAAUUGGGUGAUUUCUUCUAACGUUCUUGAUUCUAAACCCAACACGAAUUCAUAGAAACUUCAUACAAUUCCUUUCAAAAAUCAUAACUCAUACUCAAGAUCCUCAACCCAAGAAACUCAAAACUUCUAUUGUUAAAGAAUGAAACUAAAAUCAAGAACUACUCAAGAAUCUCUUAACAUAACGAUUUCAUGGAUGCAUUAGAUGUAUGGCGUGAGGACGAACAAGUCCAACACUGUGAGAAGCCUUACAUACUUGGUAAGAACGAUGUUCUUGGUGAAAAUAACAAGUAUCGAAGAACACUUGAACUUAGCCCUUUUUCUCCUCUUGAAACCUAGCUCUAAAUCUUUAAGUGUUUUGGAAUGUGAAGAGGUGAUUUAUAAUCUGAUUAGACCCUUAAUUGGGUCAGGAAAAACGUGCUAAACCUAGUGGGAAAAAGGAAAGAUCAAAAUACCCUUUUCUAAAACGAUUGAAAUGUCUUAAAUAGAGAGGCUUCUCUGAAACAUGCUUAAUUGUUUACUCCAAGCUCGAAAUUGAGAAAACUUGGCGGUGUUGGAAAGAUGACUCAAAGAUCUUCGAUUUGAUAGCUCAUAGGCCACCUAAUUCUUUAUGUGCUAAAAUAUAUGGUUGUUUGAAGUUCACCAAAACUUAAAACUGAUGGAUAACUUGUACGAACCUCUAUUUAGCUCUUUCGAAGUCCGAGGUGUUACUAGGCUGAUUUUAUGCAGGAUGUAGUUGUGGAGGUUCAGUUGGAGUGGUAGGAGUACUUGUAUUCUAUACUCUUAUCUUUGUGUUUAGGAUUAUUUUUUUGCCGAGUACCGUGUGGUUUGGUAUUCACCCCUUGCUUAUACAAUUGUGUAAGUUACGAGCUCGGAUCUUCGUGAUACUCCCUCUUCUUGUUCGAGGCAUCCUUUGGAGAUUUGUGAGCUAGUUGUUUGUCAUCUCAGUAGACCUUCUUACUCAUAUUUAUGAUUUUUGUUCUGUUUUAUAGACAAUAUCAUUUGAGACUUGUGUUUUUGU